GGNNUUANGNNGCGGAGGAUCACNUCUAUACCUUACAGGAGCCUUGCUUGCGCUCUGCUCACCCAUGAUCGUCUGAUACAAAGGGAAACCCAGGGGGGUCCGCCCGCCGAACGGACACCCCUCCUUAUUUGCAGGUCCAAUCAACCUCCGAAAAAACUUAAUAGUUACAAGUUUCAACAACGGAUCGGACGGUCCUGGCAUCUUUGAACAAGAAAGCGAAAUGCCUUAAGUAGUGUGAAUUGCCUAAUUCAUUGAAUUGAGAAUCUUUGAACGCCCAUUGCGCCCCUUGGUAUUCCAUGGGGCAUGCCUGUUCGAGCGUCAUUUGUACCUUCAAGCUCUGCUUGGAGUUGGGUGUUUGUCUCUCCUAAGCUCGCAAACUCGCUUAAAAACAAUUGGCAGCCGGCGUAUUGAUUUCGGAGCGCAGUACAUCUCGCGCUUUGCCCUCAGAACGACGACAUCCAAAAGUACAUUUUUACACUCUUGACCUCGGAUCAGGUAGGGAUACCCGCUGAACUUAAGCAUAUCAUUAAGCGGAGGAAAAAAAACCAACCAGGUUAAUGAGGCGAACCGGGGGAACUGAAACAUCUAAGUACCCCGAGGAAAAGAAACCAACCAUCAACUCAUUAUCAUUAACUGAAUCCUUAGGUUAAUGAGGGGAACCGGGGGAACUGAUACAUCUNCGUACCCCAAGAAAACAAAACCAACCA
Molecule: ribosomal RNA, 707 nt
Filed under: Phoma albiziae
Lineage: Eukaryota; Fungi; Ascomycota; Dothideomycetes; Pleosporales; Didymellaceae
Description: eukaryotic LSU rRNA
Rfam family: 5.8S ribosomal RNA (bases 169-321)
Source: RNAcentral